UCGUAACAAGGUUUCCGUAGGUGAACCUGCGGAAGGAUCAUUACAACAAUAAUUCAACAUUGUGUCAGAGCAAUAACAUCUAAAACCGAUCAUCAAUUAAUUAAUUCAAAACUUUCAACAACGGAUCUCUAGGUUCUCGCAUCGAUGAAGAACGCAGCGAAAUGCGAUACGUAGUACGAAACGCAAGUCGUGAAUCAUCGAAUCUUUGAACGCACAUUGCGCUGUGUGGCAUUCCACACAGCAUGCCUGUUUGAGCAAUAUUUCUCUCUCGCAAGGUGUUGGGCACCACGCCGGCAGGCGUCUGCCAGAAACGAAAUUGUCUAAAACAGUUAAGCUUGUUACAGACUCUUGAUCUUAUUCUCAAAUCAGGUAGGACUACCCGCUGAACUUAAGCAUAUCAAUAA
RNAcentral lists this unclassified non-coding RNA (404 nucleotides) under Diutina rugosa. RNAcentral describes it as "sequence contains 18S rRNA gene, ITS1, 5.8S rRNA gene, ITS2, 28S rRNA gene". The stretch from base 110 to 260 matches the Rfam family "5.8S ribosomal RNA". The record is from RNAcentral. Lineage: Eukaryota; Fungi; Ascomycota; Pichiomycetes; Serinales; Debaryomycetaceae.